This 400-nucleotide long non-coding RNA is filed under the name Equus caballus (horse). Its description in RNAcentral is "lncRNA (ENSECAG00000054543.1)". The record is from RNAcentral. Lineage: Eukaryota; Metazoa; Chordata; Mammalia; Perissodactyla; Equidae.
CGGGAGGUGACCGAGCUGCGGCUGCUGAGCCGAGCCCCGGGUUUGCGGGGCGGCUGGGGGCGGGGCUGCAGCCGCCGCCGCUGUCCCCGCCCGGUGCCUCCUGCGGGCCGCCGCCCCGGCUCGCGGCGCGCCCUCCCGAGCCUCGGAGUCCUCUCCACCUGGCGCUGUGCGAGAUACAGUGGAUUCCAAAUCCAUAGCUGUGUAAAGUUGGAGUCUCGUGAGACGAGAACAGGAAAUGAUCAGAGAAGGAAUAAAUGACAGCUCUGCUUAGAGUGUUUCUGUGAUUCAACUUGGAAUUGCAGCUGAGUCUCCUCAGUGUGUAGAAGAGGUCACAAUAAGAGGGAGAAGUCAGGUGCAACCUUGAGAUAGCCCGCAGAGAUGGGAGCAGGGAGACUCCCAG